Molecule: long non-coding RNA, 512 nt
Organism: Trichomycterus rosablanca
Lineage: Eukaryota; Metazoa; Chordata; Actinopteri; Siluriformes; Trichomycteridae
Exons: 2
Source: RefSeq, a predicted model, not a curated record
ACGCCCCCACAUCGGAAACUCGGUGCUCAUCGAAAAAUCCGCGUUUCCCACUGGUAAAUACGACACUGAGUUGCCGUUCAUGUGCCCUCAUCUCGUAAAUACGAUAUUUCCGACACGACUUGAAGGCAGCAUGACUAUAGGUUCUUGGACUAAACCAUUUCCCAUCUAACAAAACAAAAAAAAUCUAUUAUUUAAUCUAGACCUUAUUUUACCAAAUAAUCUUAAUCACAAUGUAUAUUACUAUAAUGUCUGUGGCAAUCUUUAUAUAAUAUAAAAGCACAUCUGUACAUUAUUUACACUUUCCAAUUUUUCCCGGAAAAUCCCCCUAUUGCUGCACGCGAGAUGGUAUGCGCCACGCUACGGAAACCCGAAAAUAGUCCUCGUGCACCUUUCUCCGGUUUUUUCGGACGUCCUGCGAGACGGCUAUUCGAUUCCCGUCCAUGAUUUAUGUUCUCCGGUUUUCCCGCACACCAACACCAUCGUUAUAUUUAUAAUAAAGUUUCUUUAAAGCA